Molecule: long non-coding RNA, 306 nt
Organism: Arachis duranensis
Lineage: Eukaryota; Viridiplantae; Streptophyta; Magnoliopsida; Fabales; Fabaceae
Exons: 3
Source: RefSeq, a predicted model, not a curated record
CUCACCAGAGUUGUUGGAGGCUGCCACCGCUCUGCCUGGUUCUGUGUUGAGUCGCGCCGCCGUGCCUGGCUGCCGGAAAACCUCGAUAACGUCGUCGGAGAACUCUGCCGAUGACCUACCGGAGCUUCUGGCCACCGCCGGAGCUGCUGCCAGGCCGGUUCGAAAUCACAGCUGCUUUGUGUUGAAAUUCCAAGCUGAUUAUGCUGCUGCGAAUAUGUGUGGGGCUGUGCUUUGAAGCUGCCUUUGAUUUUGAGUUAAGGCGAAAAGAACUUUUAAGGCGCUUGGAUUAUGGAAUUGCGUUUGAGG